This 2833-nucleotide small RNA is filed under the name Pan troglodytes (chimpanzee). Its description in RNAcentral is "retained intron". The record is from RNAcentral. Lineage: Eukaryota; Metazoa; Chordata; Mammalia; Primates; Hominidae.
AUGGCGGCGCAGGGCGUAGGGCCUGGGCCGGGGUCGGCGGCGCCCCCGGGGCUGGAGGCGGCCCGGCAGAAGCUGGCGCUGCGGCGGAAGAAGGUGCUGAGCACCGAGGAGAUGGAGCUGUACGAGCUGGCUCAGGCGGCGGGCGGCGGUAUCGACCCCGACGUGUUCAAGAUCCUGGUGGACCUGCUGAAGCUGAACGUGGCCCCCCUCGCCGUCUUCCAGAUGCUGAAGUCCAUGUGUGCCGGGCAGAGGCUAGCGAGCGAGCCCCAGGACCCUGCGGCCGUGUCUCUGCCCACGUCGAGCGUGCCCGAGACCCGAGGUCAGAGCUGGGCCCGCUGUCCCUGCCCCAGUGGCGGGGGUGGCGGGCGGGGAGGGGGCAGGCGCGGCACAGCGGCGGCGUGGCCCUGAGUGGCCAGGCCUGUCUGUCGGUCUAGGCCCAGCACCUGCAGGGCCCAUCCGUGGGCUCUGCUCCUGGGCUUCGCUGCCAGCCUUAGGAGGCACGUCCAGGUCAGGUGGACGCAGAGUGCGUGCCCCAGGGUGGUCCAGGCUGGGUAGGGCUCCUCCGCUUAGCUCCUCCCCACCUCUUCACUCAGGCCUUCAUCCUAAAAGUCGGGAAUCAAGACGGUUUGGGGCUGGGCGCCGUGGCUCACGCCUAUAAUCUUUGGGACCCCACGGCGGGAGGAUCCUUUGAGGCCACGAGUUUGAGACCAGUCUGGGUGACAGGGUGAGAUCUUGUCUCUAAAUGUUUUUCAAAAGACAGUCUCGAUCUCUGUCCUGUGGUAUACAGCAUCCAGGGAAGUGCCCAGGGAGCAGGGCAGGCAGAGGUCUUCCUGCCUUUACCCCACCUGGGCCCAGUUCCUGCCUCUGAUGAUUGCAGGAAGAGAGUCAGACGCGGAACUCCCAGGGUGCAGAGGCCUGCGGGGUCUGAAGGGCCUCCUCCCUCUCCAGUGUGGUGACUGGGCUGAGGAGAUGCUGGGACUGAGAGUGUCAUGGUGGAGCCUCUGUCCCUGCUCAUCCUCUCCGCAUGUUGCUUCUGCUCCCGAUGGCUCUCCCUGAAAUGCAGCACAACCUCCCAGGCCAAUGGAAGGAGGCCCAGAGCUGGCUCCCUGCCUGGAAGCACGAGGAGACCCGCACAGGCAUCCUGAGAAGGCGUAGAGAGCAGGCUGCCUUCAUGGGGGGAGUGCCAGGGCCUGGGCACCCACGCCCGCUGACCCAAGAGGGCACCUGCAUGCUGGCCUCUUCACUGACCCUCGCUCUGUCUGCUCUCUUUGUGUCUCUCUCUGACCUCCAGAGGCCUCCUUUCUCUCUGCCAGGAACAGUAGCCCCCCUGCAAGGCCCUCGUUUUCCUCCAGCCCGCAGCCUGCGGCCUCUCCGGUUCUGCUCCGCAGCCCAGCUGCCACACACUCGCCUCUCUCUCCAGGCCCCCCGGGUUCCCUCCGCCUCUCUUGCUGCCUGUUCUCUCCUUUUGCAGGUUGCGUUUAUUGGCUUAUCUCUGGGGGUUGGUGCUCUCCCUUGUUUUCGUGGAAACUGCAUGGCCCCAAGAGGCCCAAGCAGCUUUGAGCUGCAAGGGCAGGAUCAUGCAGGCCACCACUGCCCUGCCGCUUAGCCACAGGGCACUAUUUCUGACUCGGUUUCUUAGAGACAUGGUGUGGCAGUGUCUAGACCCCACAGUCGGGCUGGCAUCCGGGGACAGGACCGACACCCCCACACCCCAGAGGCGAGCUGUGGUGAGUGUAAAGAGCCCCUCUCCAGGGUAAGACAGCCGGCCAGAGUGCGGUGUGCUCUGCUGGAGAGCACAGCCCCAGGCGUGACAAACACCUUGGCCUCUUAGAAGUUGUCCCCUACCUGGACAGGAAGUCUGGAGGCUGAAACAGAGACUCCCACCUUCCCAGAGUCUCCUGGGCAGUGCCACACAGAUGCCAUGUGCUGGUCCCAUGGCCACACUCCAGCACUCAGCCCCCUUGCCCGCCUCACUCCUGAGUUGGGACACUUUCCAGGUGUCACCAGGUGUGAUCAGGGGCCCAGAGCCAGGGGCCUAUGAGAGCCCAGGGGUCUUUGGUCGCGCCUCCUGCAUGCGCCUCCUGACAGCGGCCACCUCCCUGCCACCCAGAGCUCAGGCCCAAGAGAGGGUGGAGAGGGCCUGAAGGACAGGCCUGGAGUAGGGGUGUAUGGACUGUAGGCUGAGAUGAGCAAUUGAGGGGCAAGUGUCCAGCAGGAGGGAGAAACUGGGAGCAGAGUCCUUGUCACUCCAGGAGACGUUGCUGCUCACUCAGCACUCACUCAGGGCUCUGGGUGCCAGGCCUAGCUCUCAGGGCAGAGGGCAUGGCAGGGAAGUGAGAUGAUCACACUCAGAGCCCAGUGAGAGGCAGUGAGGAAAACCACCAGCAAGACCAGUGUGGUGGCUCACACCUGUAAUCCCAGCACUUUGGGAAGUCAAGGCAGGUGGAUCCCUUGAGCUCAGGAGUUCAAGAUCAGCCUGGGCAACAUAGCAAGACCCCAUCUCUACAAAAAAUACAAAAACUAGCCAGGCAGGGCCCAGCGCGGUGGCUCACGCCUGUAAUCCCAGCACUUUGGGAGGCUGAGGUGGGCGGAUCUCGAGGUCAGGAGAUCGAGACCAUCCUGGCUAUCAUGGUGAAACCCCGUCUCUACUAAAAAUACAAAAAAAAUUAGCCAGGCAUGGUGGCAGGUGCCUUUAGUCCCAGCUACUUGGGAGGCUGAGGCAGGAGAAUGGCGUGAACCUGGGAGGUGGAGCUUACAGUGAGCCGAGAUCGCGCCACUGCACUCCAGCCUGGGCGACAGAGCGAGACUCCGUCUCAAAAAAAAAAAAAAAAAA